This 209-nucleotide unclassified non-coding RNA is filed under the name uncultured Agaricales. RNAcentral's name for it is "sequence contains ITS2". The record is from RNAcentral. Lineage: Eukaryota; Fungi; Basidiomycota; Agaricomycetes; Agaricales.
AAUUCUCAACCAUUCUGUCUUUUACAAGUUCAGUCUGGCUUGGAUUGUGGGGGCUUGUGGGCUUGAUUCUGAGUCUGCUCCUCUCAAAUGCAUUAGCAUGAGUUGCUGCUGCAUCAUUUUUGAUAUGAUAAUUAUCUAUAUCAUUGGUGAUCAGCAUGAGACUCAGCUUCUAAUCAGCUGUUUCUGCUUGUCAGACACUGCUCUGAAAA